UACGGGGGGGGCAAGCGUUGUUCGGAAUUACUGGGCGUAAAGGGCCAGUAGGCGGCCAACUUAGUCCGACGUGAAAUCCCAAGGCUUAACCUUGGAACUGCGUCGGAUACUGGAUGGCUUGAAUUCGGGAGAGGGAUGCAGAAUUCCAGGUGUAGCGGUGAAAUGCGUAGAUAUCUGGAGGAAUACCGGUGGCGAAGGCGGCAUCCUGGACCGACAUUGACGCUGAACGGCGAAAGCUAGGGGAGCAAACGGG
Molecule: ribosomal RNA, 253 nt
Filed under: uncultured bacterium
Lineage: Bacteria
Description: partial 16S ribosomal RNA
Rfam family: Bacterial small subunit ribosomal RNA
Source: RNAcentral